This 497-nucleotide ribosomal RNA is filed under the name uncultured bacterium. RNAcentral describes it as "partial 16S ribosomal RNA". It matches the Rfam family "Bacterial small subunit ribosomal RNA", at positions 28 to 507 of the family's 1533-position model. The record is from RNAcentral.
GACGAACGCUGGCGGCGUGCCUAAUACAUGCAAGUUGAGCGCUGAAGGUUGGUACUUGUACCCACUGGAUGAGCAGCGAACGGGUGAGUAACGCGUGGGGAAUCUGCCUUUGAGCGGGGGACAACAUUUGGAAACGAAUGCUAAUACCGCAUAAAAACUUUAAACACAAGUUUUAAGUUUGAAAGAUGCAAUUGCAUCACUCAAAGAUGAUCCCGCGUUGUAUUAGCUAGUUGGUGAGGUAAAGGCUCACCAAGGCGAUGAUACACAGCCGACCUGAGAGGGUGAUCGGCCACAUUGGGACUGAGACACGGCCCAAACUCCUACGGGAGGCAGCAGUAGGGAAUCUUCGGCAAUGGACGAAAGUCUGACCGAGCAACGCCGCGUGAGUGAAGAAGGUUUUCGGAUCGUAAAACUCUGUUGGUAGAGAAGAACGUUGGUGAGAGUGGAAAGCUCAUCAAGUGACGGUAACUACCCAGAAAGGGACGGCUAACUACGUG